AAGAGUAAAUAACAAGGAACCAGAUAAGCCAUCAUCUAGAUUUCAUAUAUGAAUGAAAAAACACCAAAAAACAUUAAUUUGCAGUGAGUUUUGUGCUUUAAAAUAAGAGAAAACAGAUCAAAAUCAUUAUUUGAGAAGAGUCUAUAUCAAAAUCCCCCUACAUUAGUGCUGUGAUCAAUGUGGAGGAUUUAAUUAAUUCAUUGAAAUUUCAGCCUAAAUUUAUCAAACAAUGCUAAACAGAAUAAAAUCAGAUUCAAAACAGAAAAUACAUAUAUUAAAAAUACAUAAAACUGUUUAAAUCAUUAAAAGCAAAACGUCUCUGUGACAUCACAGCAGUGGCUGAGAUCCAAUAUCUAUUCUCCGAUAUAUGGGCUUAGUGAGGACUUUUUCACUGGGGGAUCUCAUUCAAAGCAUAACAGAAGACAGCAUAGCUACUCAUAGUUUGUCAUUAUGGUCAAAAUGUUCCCAGAGGUCUCUUCCUCUCCAAAAUAAACUGACCCAGAGAGUAAAGCUGCUUCAGCACUGAAUAAAGCAGUUUACUUUUAAAGUUAGUGUUUCCUUGAUGGAUACAAGCCAGAGAGGCUACAAGCUAAUGCAAAGUGACCUUAGCUUCUCUGCAAACAGUUCUGGAGGUUUAACGUUUCAUAGUUGAUCUGUAUGUCCUCUUACAUUGCCAAACAUUGGUACAAACCAAGGUGUUAACCUCUGAUUGUCGUCCUAGAAUCGGACAUAAAUCUGCCUAGAAGUCCUGUUGCCUGAGCUCAGGUAAAAUAAUGUUAGUUAAAAAAGAACAAGAUUUAAAGUGUUUAGUAAAAGUGUGCUGAAAACUGGAUAAAAAAGUACAU
Molecule: long non-coding RNA, 845 nt
Organism: Trematomus bernacchii (emerald rockcod)
Lineage: Eukaryota; Metazoa; Chordata; Actinopteri; Perciformes; Nototheniidae
Exons: 2
Source: RefSeq, a predicted model, not a curated record